UUUUCCAGGCUAAGGAGAGCUCCAUGUUGCCAAGGCCAGACUGCUUCCAGUAGCUGAUGUGGAACCUUUGAAGCAAGCUCUAUUCUCAUAGAAACAACCCAGUAGUGAAUGAAAGCAGCAUAAUUUCACCUCAUUAGAAUCACAAUUUUUUUUAUAAUCUCACAUGGGUCAAGAACAGCCAAUUUCAAGAAGAGCACAAGACUGAAUUUGGAUAAAUCUUCUGUAUAAAAAGUACAGGGUGGAUA
Long non-coding RNA from Lagopus leucura (white-tailed ptarmigan), 245 nucleotides. RefSeq lists it as uncharacterized. The transcript is spliced from 3 exons. The record is from RefSeq and is a predicted model, not a curated record. NCBI's taxonomy places the organism in Eukaryota, Metazoa, Chordata, Aves, Galliformes, Phasianidae.